GAAUAUUGGUCAAUGGGUGCAAGCCUGAACCAGCCAUGCCGCGUGCAGGAAGAAGGCGUUAUGCGUUGUAAACUGCUUUUGCCAGGGGCUAAAAUUUCCUUGCGAGGAACAUUGAAGGUACCUGGUGAAUAAGCCACGGCUACCUACGUGCCAGCAGCCGCGGUAAUACGUAGGUGGCAAGCGUUGUCCGGAUUUAUUGGGUUUAAAGGGUGCGUAGGCGGCCCUGUAAGUCAGUGGUGAAAUACUCCAGCUUAACUGGAGGGGUGCCAUUGAUACUGCAGGGCUUGAGUGGAGUCGAAGUAGGCGGAAUUGACGGUGUAGCGGUGAAAUGCUUAGAUAUCGUCAAGAACACCGAUAGUGAAGACAGCUUACUAGGCUUCUACUGACGCUGAGGCACGAAAGUGUGGGGAUCAAACAGG
This 419-nucleotide ribosomal RNA is filed under the name uncultured bacterium. Its description in RNAcentral is "bacterial SSU rRNA". It matches the Rfam family "Bacterial small subunit ribosomal RNA", at positions 359 to 776 of the family's 1533-position model. The record is from RNAcentral.